UGUUUCGGCUAGGGGGUCAUCCCGACUUACCAACCCGAUGCAAACUACGAAUACCGAAGAAUGUUAUCACGGGAGACACACGGCGGGUGCUAACGUCCGUCGUGAAGAGGGAAACAACCCAGACCGCCAGCUAAGGUCCCAAAGUCAUGGUUAAGUGGGAAACGAUGUGGGAAGGCACAGACAGCCAGGAUGUUGGCUUAGAAGCAGCCAUCAUUUAAAGAAAGCGUAAUAGCUCACUGGUCGAGUCGGCCUGCGCGGAAGAUGUAACGGGGCUAAACCAUGCACCGAAGCUGCGGCAGCGACACUAUGUGUUGUUGGGUAGGGGAGCGUUCUGUAAGCCUGCGAAGGUGACCUGUGAGGGUUGCUGGAGGUAUCAGAAGUGCGAAUGCUGACAUAAGUAACGAUAAAGCGGGUGAAAAGCCCGCUCGCCGGAAGACCAAGGGUUCCUGUCCAACGUUAAUCGGGGCAGGGUGAGUCGACCCCUAAGGCGAGGCCGAAAGGCGUAGUCGAUGGGAAACAGGUUAAUAUUCCUGUACUUGGUGUUACUGCGAAGGGGGGACGGAGAAGGCUAUGUUAGCCGGGCGACGGUUGUCCCGGUUUAAGCAUGUAGGCUGGUUGUCCAGGCAAAUCCGGAUAAUCAAGGCUGAGGUGUGAUGACGAGGCACUACGGUGCUGAAGUAACAAAUGCCCUGCUUCCAGGAAAAGCCUCUAAGCAUCAGGUAACAUUAAAUCGUACCCCAAACCGACACAGGUGGUCAGGUAGAGAAUACCAAGGCGCUUGAGAGAACUCGGGUGAAGGAACUAGGCAAAAUGGUGCCGUAACUUCGGGAGAAGGCACGCUGGUGUGUAGGUGAAGUCCCUGCGGAUGGAGCUGAGACCAGUCGAAGAUACCAGCUGGCUGCAACUGUUUAUUAAAAACACAGCACUGUGCAAACACGAAAGUGGACGUAUACGGUGUGACGCCUGCCCGGUGCCGGAAGGUUAAUUGAUGGGGUUAUCCGUAAGGAGAAGCUCUUGAUCGAAGCCCCGGUAAACGGCGGCCGUAACUAUAACGGUCCUAAGGUAGCGAAAUUCCUUGUCGGGUAAGUUCCGACCUGCACGAAUGGCGUAAUGAUGGCCAGGCUGUCUCCACCCGAGACUCAGUGAAAUUGAACUCGCUGUGAAGAUGCAGUGUACCCGCGGCAAGACGGAAAGACCCCGUGAACCUUUACUAUAGCUUGACACUGAACAUUGAGCCUUGAUGUGUAGGAUAGGUGGGAGGCUUUGAAGCGUGGACGCCAGUCUGCGUGGAGCCAACCUUGAAAUACCACCCUUUAAUGUUUGAUGUUCUAACGUUGGCCCCUGACCGGGGUUGCGGACAGUGUCUGGUGGGUAGUUUGACUGGGGCGGUCUCCUCCCAAAGCGUAACGGAGGAGCACGAAGGUUAGCUAAUCCUGGUCGGACAUCAGGAGGUUAGUGCAAUGGCAUAAGCUAGCUUGACUGCGAGCGUGACGGCGCGAGCAGGUGCGAAAGCAGGUCAUAGUGAUCCGGUGGUUCUGAAUGGAAGGGCCAUCGCUCAACGGAUAAAAGGUACUCCGGGGAUAACAGGCUGAUACCGCCCAAGAGUUCAUAUCGACGGCGGUGUUUGGCACCUCGAUGUCGGCUCAUCACAUCCUGGGGCUGAAGUAGGUCCCAAGGGUAUGGCUGUUCGCCAUUUAAAGUGGUACGCGAGCUGGGUUUAGAACGUCGUGAGACAGUUCGGUCCCUAUCUGCCGUGGGCGCUGGAGAAUUGAGGGGGGCUGCUCCUAGUACGAGAGGACCGGAGUGGACGCAUCACUGGUGUUCGGGUUGUCAUGCCAAUGGCACUGCCCGGUAGCUAAAUGCGGAAGAGAUAAGUGCUGAAAGCAUCUAAGCACGAAACUUGCCCCGAGAUGAGUUCUCCCUGAGACUUUAAGUCUCCUGAAGGAACGUUAAAGACGAUGACGUUGAUAGGCCGGGUGUGUAAGCGCAGCGAUGCGUUGAGCUAACCGGUACUAAUGAACCGUGAGGCUUAACCUU
Molecule: ribosomal RNA, 2037 nt
Filed under: Klebsiella pneumoniae
Lineage: Bacteria; Pseudomonadati; Pseudomonadota; Gammaproteobacteria; Enterobacterales; Enterobacteriaceae
Description: partial 23S ribosomal RNA
Rfam family: Bacterial large subunit ribosomal RNA
Source: RNAcentral